RNAcentral lists this transfer RNA (69 nucleotides) under Dolichorhinotermes longilabius. RNAcentral describes it as "tRNA-Asp". Lineage: Eukaryota; Metazoa; Arthropoda; Insecta; Blattodea; Rhinotermitidae. The record is from RNAcentral.
AAAGGAUUAGUUAAUUAGAAAUAACAUCAGAAUGUCAAACUGAAAUAACCAAAACCAAGGUAUCCUUUU